CCAAUUUCUGUAUAAUCUCUCUCACAGCGAAAAAAGAGGAGAUGACUUUUUGGCUUCUGCUUGUUUUCCUUUUAACAGUUUUCAAAGACGUCCAGUCAGCAAUCCAGUUGGAAGAAUCUGGAGGGGAUGUUAGAAAGCCAGGAGAGUCCCUCCGCCUGUCCUGCAAAGCUUCUGGGUUCACCUUCAGUAGCUAUUACAUGGAAUGGGUGAGACAAGCUCCUGGCAAGGGCCUGGAAUGGGUUGCACGCAUACAUCCAACAAAUGCAGCUUAUAUUUACUACGCUGAUGCAGUCAAAGGGCGCUUCACCAUCUCCAGAGACAAUUCAAACAGCCUGCUGUUUUUACAAAUGAACAACCUGAAACCAGAGGACACUGCUGUGUAUUACUGUGCAAGAGACACAGUGAAGGAAGUGAAUCAGGAGCUGAACAAAAACCUUCUGUUGACAAUGGUCCAAAACACACUAAAUGAAGAUGGUGAGCAUAAAGUCCAUGCACCAAUGAGCCUUGCAGAUAUUUUAGCUUGA
This is a non-coding RNA of Sceloporus undulatus (fence lizard), 524 nucleotides long. The record is from the annotation of a RefSeq genome assembly. NCBI's taxonomy places the organism in Eukaryota, Metazoa, Chordata, Lepidosauria, Squamata, Phrynosomatidae.